RNAcentral lists this microRNA precursor (120 nucleotides) under Glycine max (soybean). Its description in RNAcentral is "MIR1520 microRNA precursor family". It matches the Rfam family "MIR1520 microRNA precursor family". The record is from Rfam by way of RNAcentral. Lineage: Eukaryota; Viridiplantae; Streptophyta; Magnoliopsida; Fabales; Fabaceae.
UUCUUAUUGGAUGAUGACUGUCAUGUGUCAUGUUCUGAUUGGUCAAUGAAAACAAUAAUUCAUUUCAUUUUUCAUGGAGUUGACAUCCAAUCAGAACAUGACACAUGACCGUCAUCAUCC